ACAUCCGGGGAGCUUAAGAGAUAGGCUGAGAAACGGCUGGACUGCCGUGACCCGCAACCUGAUUUGGGUAAUGCCAACGUAGGGAGUAAG
This 90-nucleotide non-coding RNA is filed under the name uncultured Clostridium sp. RNAcentral describes it as "TPP riboswitch (THI element)". It matches the Rfam family "TPP riboswitch aptamer (THI element)", at positions 10 to 89 of the family's 105-position model. Rfam says of the family: Vitamin B(1) in its active form thiamin pyrophosphate (TPP) is an essential coenzyme that is synthesised by coupling of pyrimidine and thiazole moieties in bacteria. The previously detected thiamin-regulatory element, thi box was extended, resulting in a new, highly conserved RNA secondary structure, the THI element, which is widely distributed in eubacteria and also occurs in some archaea. The record is from RNAcentral. Lineage: Bacteria; Bacillati; Bacillota; Clostridia; Eubacteriales; Clostridiaceae.